AUCGCUUCUCGGCUCAUUGAGCUAAGAUCAAAGUGUAGUAUCUGUUCUUAUCAGCUUAAUAUCUGAUACGCUUCCCAUAGGGAAGCCAGAAUAUUAAACUGGUUUUUGGAAACUGGCGGAGCGUCUGGGGCUUGCUCCGGCUCUGCCGUGGGUCGACCCUACUUUGCAGUACCGUAGGGAACGGCCUAUUUUAA
Diprion similis is the source of this 194-nucleotide small nuclear RNA. RefSeq annotates it as U2 spliceosomal RNA. The record is from RefSeq and is a predicted model, not a curated record. The transcript has a single exon. Lineage: Eukaryota; Metazoa; Arthropoda; Insecta; Hymenoptera; Diprionidae.